CCUACGGGUGGCAGCAGUGAGGAAUAUUGGUCAAUGGGCGCGAGCCUGAACCAGCCAAGUCGCGUGAGGGAUGAAGGUUCUAUGUAUCGUAAACUUCUUUUAUAUGGGCAUAAAGUGUGGGACGUGUCCUAUUUUGUAUGUACCUUAUGAAUAAGGAUCGGCUAACUCCGUGCCAGCAGCCGCGGUAAUACGGAGGAUCCGAGCGUUAUCCGGAUUUAUUGGGUUUAACGGGUGCGUAGGCGGCCUUUUAAGUCAGCGGUGAAAGUUUGGGGCUCAACCCUAGAAGUGCAGUUGAACCUGGGGGGGUUGAGUAUGGUUGAGGCAGGCGGAAUGCGUGGUGUAGCGGUGAAAUGCUUAGAUAUCACGCAGAACCCCGAUUGCGAAGGCAGCCUGCCAGGCCAUGACUGACGCUGAGGCACGAAAGCGUGGGGAUCAAACAGGAUUAGAUACCCGAGUAGUC
Molecule: ribosomal RNA, 460 nt
Filed under: uncultured bacterium
Lineage: Bacteria
Description: partial 16S ribosomal RNA
Rfam family: Bacterial small subunit ribosomal RNA
Source: RNAcentral